UCAAAGGAAUUGACGGGGGCCCGCACAAGCGGCGGAGCAUGUGGCUUAAUUCGACGCAACGCGAAGAACCUUACCAAGGCUUGACAUACACCGGAAACGUCUGGAGACAGGCGCCCCCUUGUGGUCGGUGUACAGGUGGUGCAUGGCUGUCGUCAGCUCGUGUCGUGAGAUGUUGGGUUAAGUCCCGCAACGAGCGCAACCCUUGUCCCGUGUUGCCAGCAGGCCCUUGUGGUGCUGGGGACUCACGGGAGACCGCCGGGGUCAACUCGGAGGAAGGUGGGGACGACGUCAAGUCAUCAUGCCCCUUAUGUCUUGGGCUGCACACGUGCUACAAUGGCCGGUACAAUGAGCUGCGAUACCGCGAGGUGGAGCGAAUCUCAAAAAGCCGGUCUCAGUUCGGAUUGGGGUCUGCAACUCGACCCCAUGAAGUCGGAGUCGCUAGUAAUCGCAGAUCAGCAUUGCUGCGGUGAAUACGUUCCCGGG
This 483-nucleotide ribosomal RNA is filed under the name Streptomyces poonensis. RNAcentral describes it as "bacterial SSU rRNA". It matches the Rfam family "Bacterial small subunit ribosomal RNA", at positions 901 to 1378 of the family's 1533-position model. The record is from RNAcentral. Lineage: Bacteria; Bacillati; Actinomycetota; Actinomycetes; Kitasatosporales; Streptomycetaceae.